AGCUUUGUGCAAUGGCAGUAUCAUAGCCAAUGUGGUUUAUCCGAGGCUUGAUUAUUGCUAAUUGAAAACUUUUCCCAAAAUCCAUGGGCUCUAGUGGUAUGAUAUAUCAUAUUUUGUAACAGUUUUGUGACA
This is a small nuclear RNA of Heterocephalus glaber (naked mole-rat), 132 nucleotides long. Its record names the gene U4. It matches the Rfam family "U4 spliceosomal RNA". Rfam says of the family: U4 small nuclear RNA (U4 snRNA) is a component of the major U2-dependent spliceosome. The structure of U4 snRNA from yeast and human has been reported. The record is from Ensembl. Lineage: Eukaryota; Metazoa; Chordata; Mammalia; Rodentia; Bathyergidae.